GUUUAGCUCUUAUAGAGUUUUCAUAUUUAAUAUAUAUUUUAAUUAAAGGAAAGCUGCAGAAUUUCGAUCCACGUAUUCAGCUAUUCUUCAUGGAGUUGUGCCUUUUGAUAGAAAUCUUCUCAUUUUAAGAGCUCUACUCUGAGAAACUCCUUAAUGGAAGAACAGUCUCCAGUAAGAUCAAGAGUCAGUAGACGCCAGCACUCUGCAGCUGAAUUGAGGCUUUCAUGUGGCUGGGUUACUAUGAGCCAUCCAUUGUUCCUAUUGUUCUGUAGAUCUUUGUUGGAAUGUUGUUGAUAUUCAUUGAUUUCUCAAGGCAAGUACUGGAGCUCAGUGAAAUUUCCUUCUAAAGAGAAAGUGUACAACAGGAGAAUUCAGAUGUCCUUACACUGCCUUCUUCAUGCUUCUGACUUCCACCUCCCUCCAAGGAAGGAGAAUUUUGUGGGAAACAGAAAAUAUGGAAUGGUCCAACACACUGAACUACCCUCGUCCUUACAGAGAAAAGCAGAGAAGGUGAAAAGCUCCAUUCACCUGCUGAAAAUGCCAGAUGACCAGAAGCAAAGCAAGACUAGUUGGGGAGCAUUGAGCAGAGUGAUGAACUGCAUUUCAUCCAACCCAAAAUAGUCUGUGCCCAUUUACCAUCUUGAAGGGCCCUUGUCAGGUUGAGGGAGUUCUGCCAGGAAGCAGGCACUAAAACGGUGACCUUGAAUCUUGGCUGGCUGAUAAUGGGCCACAAAGAAUUGACAAAAUCCAACUGCUUGCUGAAGAUACAUGGCUUCCUUCAGCAGACAGUGAAAGAUGAAAUAGAUUGGCUUAAAAAAAAAAACACCAAAGAGCUUUGGGCUUAUUGAUUUUUAUAAACAAAACCCUUUGGGUGCCCUAAGAGUAGAAAGGUACUAUGACAAUUUGUCUUCUUAGAAUAAAAAUAGAGACAUGUAUAAACUAAAUAUGUUU
Molecule: long non-coding RNA, 951 nt
Filed under: Felis catus (domestic cat)
Lineage: Eukaryota; Metazoa; Chordata; Mammalia; Carnivora; Felidae
Description: lncRNA (ENSFCAG00000046208.2)
Source: RNAcentral